GCCGCGCAGGUGCGGCAGGUUCCCUUAGUGUGGUUGCAGUUCCGCGCGGAUCCACGCUACCACCCGACAUCCACGGACAUCCGCGCUGUCUCGGUGCCCGGGCCUCGCGAGCUCCCGGCUGCGUCGGAGACAGAUGAAGACCCUCCCUCGGACGGCUUUGCUGGGCCUGCCUCAGCCAGCGCCCCCUUCUGUCCUGCGGGUCCCUGACCCGCCCUGCCUGAUGCACCCCCACUGUGUGCAGGGGCUGAGGCUGUCCCCUGGGACUGCCACGUGGCUGCUGUUGCAUGAGGGGUGUCAUCAGGGGAGCCUGGACUGAGUCUCAGAUGGGUUGGUGUGUUGCACAGAGGUGCCGUGGGAGGCGUAAUCUUCAUGUCAGCCAGGCGCUGGACCCUGGGGCCCCAGACAUGUCCCAUGGGAGGCAGAGACCCUGCAGUGGUGCCGUCACUUAGGAAGUCUGAAGAUGCAGCCUGAUGCCCCUGAGAGGGAUGUCUGGCUCCCACAUAACAGGUCAGCUUCAGAUCCAGAAGGAAGUGCCAGGGCCAUGAGUCAGUGACCUUCAGGAUGACUUGGGAUCUGGGAUUGCUGGUAUUUCUUCAGCAAAGAUUCUCCUGUUGUUCAUGGACACCUGAGGCGCAGAGCAUGGAGAAUGAGGUCCCUGCUGGAAGCUUCCCCAGAGCUCCUUGCCACCUGCUCAUGGUUCUGUUCACUCCGCUUAGUGCUGGGCCUGGGGCUCAGGGUCCACUUCAUCUGGCUCUCCCUUGGAGGGCCGCAGGCAGGGAGGGCAAGUUCUACCCACCUGGAUGACUUCAGUGAACAAGUUUUUGCCUGCUGCUCAUUGCUUCCCCUCUGCCCACCCACCCAAUAAACUGUACAUAUUC
Molecule: long non-coding RNA, 878 nt
Organism: Camelus dromedarius (Arabian camel)
Lineage: Eukaryota; Metazoa; Chordata; Mammalia; Artiodactyla; Camelidae
Exons: 7
Source: RefSeq, a predicted model, not a curated record